This is a long non-coding RNA of Monodelphis domestica (gray short-tailed opossum), 391 nucleotides long. NCBI's taxonomy places the organism in Eukaryota, Metazoa, Chordata, Mammalia, Didelphimorphia, Didelphidae. The record is from Ensembl.
UUCUCAGCUGCAUCCAGGGCUUAAAUGAGGCCGGAUUUCACAGGCUUUCAGAUGGGCUAGCUUUUGAGCAGAACUUGAUUUCUUUUUUGUUUUGGGUGGACUAGGAGUGCACAUUUAAUAAACCUGAGCAGGCAGGCUCCAACCAUUAUAAGGAAAGGAACCAAAGCAAACCAAAGCAGGAAACAUGUCAUUCUAGCAGCUGAGCAGAUUGAUUUCCAGAACAUCCGGAUCAUGUCACAGUUCUACCAACAGUGCCUCGGUUUGCCUGCCUGUUUUCCCACAUUCCCUCCAAAAUCGAUUCAGUGUGCUGGGUUAUUUCUUGUCCUUUGGUGGACUAACAUCUUUUCUGGAAAGACAAACAGAAAAACACUGGAAGGCAAAUCUGAGAAAA